Portunus trituberculatus (swimming crab) is the source of this 378-nucleotide long non-coding RNA. RefSeq lists it as uncharacterized. NCBI's taxonomy places the organism in Eukaryota, Metazoa, Arthropoda, Malacostraca, Decapoda, Portunidae. The record is from RefSeq and is a predicted model, not a curated record. The transcript has 2 exons.
UCUAUCCACACACCCAGAUACAUUCACGCACACCCAUAGAUACUCAAAACACACUCAAACACACACAGAAUGAAGCUAAACACACACGCACACACAUACACACAGCCUUAAAUGCUCAAAACACACCCAUAUAGACCCCAAAACACUCGUGAACACACUCAAACACACACAGAACCAAGCUAAAUACACACACACACACACACAAUGAAGUGAAGUGUUACCAUAUUCCCAGGCAGUUUUUAGCAGCACAAGCGGCAAGACAAGAGUGAACCAGCAGUGCAAGGCAAGCCACCAUGACCUGCAGCCUUCACCACACCCCUCCUUCACUUACUCAAGGCUCAGACGUCAACACGGAAGCAACAGAAGGAAGAAGAAGGA